RNAcentral lists this ribosomal RNA (433 nucleotides) under uncultured bacterium. RNAcentral describes it as "partial 16S ribosomal RNA". It matches the Rfam family "Bacterial small subunit ribosomal RNA", at positions 29 to 507 of the family's 1533-position model. The record is from RNAcentral.
AACGAACGCUGGCGGCAUGCCUAACACAUGCAAGUCGAACGAGACCUUCGGGUCUAGUGGCGCACGGGUGCGUAACGCGUGGGAACCUGCCCUUAGGUUCGGAAUAACUCCCCGAAAGGGGUGCUAAUACCGGAUAAUGUCUUCGGACCAAAGAUUUAUCGCCUUUGGAUGGGCCCGCGUUGGAUUAGCUAGUUGGUAGGGUAAAAGCCUACCAAGGCGACGAUCCAUAGCUGGUCUGAGAGGAUGAUCAGCCACACCGGGACUGAGACACGGCCCAGACUCCUACGGGAAGCAGCAGUGGGGAAUAUUGGACAAUGGGCGAAAGCCUGAUCCAGCAAUGCCGCGUGAGUGAUGAAGGCCUUAGGGUUGUAAAGCUCUUUUACCCGGGAUGAUAAUGACAGUACCGGGAGAAUAAGCUCCGGCUAACUCCGUG